RNAcentral lists this long non-coding RNA (499 nucleotides) under Rattus norvegicus (Norway rat). RNAcentral describes it as "long non-coding RNA NONRATT003365". Lineage: Eukaryota; Metazoa; Chordata; Mammalia; Rodentia; Muridae. The record is from RNAcentral.
UGACGGGUGGCUAGGCCCCAGGAUAGGUACCUAUUUGGGGACCCCAUAGAGCACUGCACUGACUGAGGGAUGGUAACAGGAUGUGUAGGUUUUGGAGGCCCAUAUGUCCAUUCAUGACCAGUGACUUGUCUCACAGCCAUGCAACCCUUGCCUCCUGUGCUGACUUAGCAGGGGAUAAAGUGAGAGAAAGCCUGGGCUAAUCAGGGGGUCGCUCAGCUCCUCCUAACUGGAUUGUCCUAUGUGUCUUUGCUUCUGUGCUGCUGAUGCUCUGCCCUGUGCUGACAUGACCUCCCUGGCAGUGGCACAACUGGAGCUGGGUGGAGGCCCGGGGGCAGGUGACCUUCAGACCUUGGCACUGGAGGUGGCCCGGCAGAAGCGCGGCAUCGUGGAUCAGUGCUGCACCAGCAUCUGCUCUCUCUACCAACUGGAGAACUACUGCAACUAGGCCCACCACUACCCUGUCCACCCCUCUGCAAUGAAUAAAACCUUUGAAAGAGCA